GAUGAAGAACGCAGCGAAAUGCGAUAAGUAAUGUGAAUUGCAGAAUUCAGUGAAUCAUCGAAUCUUUGAACGCACAUUGCGCCCUCUGGUAUUCCGGGGGACAUGCCUGUUCGAGCGUCAUUAUAACCACUCAAGCUCUCGCUUGGUAUUGGGGUUCGCGGUUCCGCGGCCCCUAAAAUCAGUGGCGGUGCCUGUCGGCUCUACGCGUAGUAAUACUCCUCGCGAUUGAGUCCGGUAGGUCUACUUGCCAGCAACCCCCAAUUUUUACAGGUUGACCUCGGAUCAGGUAGGGAUACCCGCUGAACUUAAGCAUAUCAAUAAGCGGAGGA
This 329-nucleotide unclassified non-coding RNA is filed under the name soil metagenome. Its description in RNAcentral is "partial contains 5.8S ribosomal RNA, internal transcribed spacer 2, and large subunit ribosomal RNA". The stretch from base 1 to 120 matches the Rfam family "5.8S ribosomal RNA", at positions 35 to 154 of the family's 154-position model. The record is from RNAcentral.